Long non-coding RNA from Sander lucioperca (pikeperch), 197 nucleotides. RefSeq lists it as uncharacterized. Lineage: Eukaryota; Metazoa; Chordata; Actinopteri; Perciformes; Percidae. The record is from RefSeq and is a predicted model, not a curated record. The transcript has 3 exons.
AAAGUUGCAAAUCAAAGCAUACCUGUCAAGUUUUGGAUUUGAAAAUAAGGGAUAUUUUCCGGCGCCCACCGCGAGCAGUCCCACCACCCCAACCAAGCUCCAGUAUCCCUUACAUUUUAAGACAGGUGUACAAGAAAGCUAAAAUCACCACUUGAUGCAGAAUGCUGAAAACAUUUACAAUUUAUAAUAUUGCUUGU